This 28-nucleotide small RNA is filed under the name Bombyx mori (domestic silkworm). RNAcentral describes it as "ovarian small RNA-2963". Lineage: Eukaryota; Metazoa; Arthropoda; Insecta; Lepidoptera; Bombycidae. The record is from RNAcentral.
UACCUCUGGUCAUCAUUUUGGAUUUGGA